AACAGGAGGGAGGACCUCCGAAGGUCAGGAAAGAAGAGAGAAGGACUUCAGCUUCACUCCAACAACAUGUAAGACUGCUGAAAAAAGGUUGGAGAACAGUGGCUCUUGGAGAUGCACAGUAAUCAUCCCGCUAAAGCAGAACUACACUGUCAUCGUAUUAAAGGGGGCUGCAGGAAGCAGCAUACAGAGGAAAUGCCUUGGGCGGGAUGGUAGCCCGGAUCAGGGCUCACAUACUGGCUCACGUGUGGGCAAUGAAGAAGUAGCACUUCACGUGUACGGGAGAAAAACAGCAGCCAGAGGAAUCCUAUGCAAUCUCAGUGAGAAUAAACUCCCCAGACCCAGGACUGGGGCAGGAAUUGCAGGAUUCUCCUCUAGCAUUUAUUUUGGCAUACUGUAUUUAUUGCUAUUAUC
Long non-coding RNA from Brienomyrus brachyistius, 411 nucleotides. RefSeq lists it as uncharacterized. The record is from RefSeq and is a predicted model, not a curated record. The transcript is spliced from 5 exons. Lineage: Eukaryota; Metazoa; Chordata; Actinopteri; Osteoglossiformes; Mormyridae.